ACACAUGCAAGUCGAGGGGCAGCGCGGGAUAGCAAUAUCCUGGCGGCGACCGGCGGAAGGGUGCGUAACGCGUGAGCGACAUGCCCGUUGCCCGGGGACAACCGGUGGAAACGCCGACUAAUCCCCGAUGGGAUAUUGUGCCGCAUGGCACGAUAUUGAAAGUUACGGCGGCGACGGAUUGGCUCGCGUCCGAUUAGCUUGUUGGCGGGGUAACGGCCCACCAAGGCUACGAUCGGUAGGGGUUCUGAGAGGAAGGCCCCCCACAAUGGGACUGAGACACGGCCCAUACUCCUACGGGAGGCAGCAGUGAGGAAUAUUGGUCAAUGGGCGGAAGCCUGAACCAGCCAUGCCGCGUGCGGGAAGGAGGCCCUAUGGGCUGUGAACCGCUUUUGCCUGGGGGCAAUAAGGGCGUCGCGCACGCCCGAUGAGAGUACCAGGCGAAUAAGCAUCGGCUAACUCCGUGCCAGCAGCCGCGGUAAUACGGGGGAUGCGAGCGUUAUCCGGAUUCAUUGGGUUUAAAGGGUGCGUAGGCUGUGCGUCAAGUCGGGGGUGAAAUUCCGGUGCUCAACACCGGGGCUGCUCUUGAUACUGUCGCGCUGGAGUGCGGAUGCCGCCGGAGGAAUGAGUGGUGUAGCGGUGAAAUGCUUAGAUAUCACUCAGAACACCGAUUGCGAAGGCAUCUGGCGAAUCCGUAACUGACGCUGAGGCACGAAAGCGUGGGGAUAGAACAGGAUUAGAUACCCUGGUAUUCCACGCCGUAAACGAUGAUGGCUAACCGCCGGCGACACACUGUCGGUGGCCAAGCGAAAGCGAUAAGCCAUCCACCUGGGGAGUACGUCGGCAACGAUGAAACUCAAAGGAAUUGACGGGGGCCCGCACAAGCGGAGGAACAUGUGGUUUAAUUCGAUGAUACGCGAGGAACCUUACCCGGGCUCGAACGG
This 941-nucleotide ribosomal RNA is filed under the name uncultured bacterium. RNAcentral describes it as "bacterial SSU rRNA". It matches the Rfam family "Bacterial small subunit ribosomal RNA", at positions 51 to 988 of the family's 1533-position model. The record is from RNAcentral.